Neogale vison (American mink) is the source of this 375-nucleotide long non-coding RNA. RefSeq lists it as uncharacterized. The transcript has 4 exons. Lineage: Eukaryota; Metazoa; Chordata; Mammalia; Carnivora; Mustelidae. The record is from RefSeq and is a predicted model, not a curated record.
UGGAGCAGAGCCCCUACCAAUCCUUGAUGGACAUACAGGGAGCCUGUGUGCAACUUCCAGCCCAUACAGGAUGUGAAGAUGGCUGACAACCUGUUUUGGAGAGCUGUGGAGCUUCUCGUGGGAAAGCAGCUGGGAUGAGGUUGAAGGUGAAGAUAUUACAAGCUGCUUCAGAAGGGGUGUACCUGGAAUGUCCAGAAUGUUGAAGCCUCUGUGAGGAAGAGCCUUACACGGUAACAAGGAGUUGCAAGUGAGCAGGUUACAAGUCCCAGAAAGACCUGAUCGAGGAAUGGAUAUGAAGUUAUUUUGGAAAAUUAAAAGGAAAGGAAAAACAAGUGAACUGUCUGCUUUUCAAAUGAAUGUUUGAAUGGCCCAGGA